Molecule: ribosomal RNA, 442 nt
Filed under: uncultured bacterium
Lineage: Bacteria
Description: partial 16S ribosomal RNA
Rfam family: Bacterial small subunit ribosomal RNA
Source: RNAcentral
CCUACGGGUGGCAGCAGUGGGGAAUAUUGGGCAAUGGGCGCAAGCCUGCCCCAGCAAUGCCGCGUGAAGGAAGAAGGCUUUCGGGGUGUAAACUUCUUUGACAGGGGAAGAGCAGAAGACGGUACCCUGAAAACAAGCCACGGCUAACUACGUGCCAGCAGCCGCGGUAAUACGUAGGUGGCAAGCGUUGUCCGGAUUUACUGGGUUUAAAGGGCGUGUAGCCGGGAAGGAAAUUCCGAUGUGAAAUCUGGAGGCUCAACCUCCAAAUUGCAUUUGAAACUGUUUUUCUUGAGUACUGGAGAGGCAGACGGAAUUCCUUUUGUAGCGGUGAAAUGCGUAGAUAUAAGGAGGAACACCAGUGGCGAAGGCGGUCUGCUGGACAGCAACUGACGGUGAGGCGCGAAAGCGUGGGGAGCAAACAGGAUUAGAUACCCUGGUAGUC